AUUGAACGCUGGCGGCAUGCUUUACACAUGCAAGUCGAACGGCAGCACGGGUGCUUGCACCUGGUGGCGAGUGGCGGACGGGUGAGUAAUGCAUCGGAACGUGUCCUGAAGUGGGGGAUAACGCAUCGAAAGAUGUGCUAAUACCGCAUAUUCUCUGAGGAGGAAAGUAGGGGAUCGAAAGACCUUAUGCUUUUGGAAGCGGCCGAUGUCUGAUUAGCUAGUUGGUAGGGUAAUGGCUUACCAAGGCGACGAUCAGUAGUUGGUCUGAGAGGACGACCAGCCACACUGGGACUGAGACACGGCCAGACUCCUACGGGAGGCAGCAGUGGGGAAUUUUGGACAAU
RNAcentral lists this ribosomal RNA (344 nucleotides) under uncultured bacterium. RNAcentral describes it as "bacterial SSU rRNA". It matches the Rfam family "Bacterial small subunit ribosomal RNA", at positions 30 to 372 of the family's 1533-position model. The record is from RNAcentral.